RNAcentral lists this transfer RNA (72 nucleotides) under Ornithorhynchus anatinus (platypus). It matches the Rfam family "tRNA". From Rfam's summary of the family: Transfer RNA (tRNA) molecules are approximately 80 nucleotides in length. Lineage: Eukaryota; Metazoa; Chordata; Mammalia; Monotremata; Ornithorhynchidae. The record is from Rfam by way of RNAcentral.
AGCAGCGUGGCUCAGUGGAAAGAGCACAGGCUUCGGAGUCAGAGGUCACAGGUUCGAAUCCCGCCUCUGCCA